UGGGGAAUAUUGGACAAUGGGCGCAAGCCUGAUCCAGCAAUGCCGCGUGUGUGAAGAAGGCCUGCGGGUUGUAAAGCACUUUCAGUAGAGAAGAAAAGCUUACGGUUAAUAUCCGUGAGUCUUGACGUAACCUACAGAAGAAGCACCGGCUAACUCCGUGCCAGCAGCCGCGGUAAUACGGAGGGUGCAAGCGUUAAUCGGAAUUACUGGGCGUAAAGCGCGCGUAGGCGGCUCUGUAAGUCGGAUGUGAAAGCCCUGGGCUUAACCUGGGAAUUGCAUUCGAUACUGCAGAACUAGAGUAUGGUAGAGGGAAGUGGAAUUUCCGGUGUAGCGGUGAAAUGCGUAGAUAUCGGAAGGAACACCAGUGGCGAAGGCGACUUCCUGGGCCAAUACUGACGCUGAGGUGCGAAAGCGUGGGGAGCAAACAGG
This 429-nucleotide ribosomal RNA is filed under the name uncultured bacterium. RNAcentral's name for it is "bacterial SSU rRNA". It matches the Rfam family "Bacterial small subunit ribosomal RNA", at positions 355 to 776 of the family's 1533-position model. The record is from RNAcentral.